Long non-coding RNA from Gallus gallus (chicken), 885 nucleotides. RefSeq lists it as uncharacterized. Lineage: Eukaryota; Metazoa; Chordata; Aves; Galliformes; Phasianidae. The transcript has 4 exons. The record is from RefSeq and is a predicted model, not a curated record.
UGGCCCUCAGGAGCUCCAUUGCCCUUUGUUGGGGUUUCUGACCUCAGCACAGGAAGAUGACAUCACUCAAAAGGGCAACAGUGCUCUCCCAUCAUGUUGCCUCUAAACCACAGCUUUUGUGGGCCUGACCUUUACCUCCACUGACACAGAUCAGAGCAAUGUAGGCCGAUCGCUGCCCUUUUGGUCAACGUAUCUGUAUUUUCCACGUGUUUUACAGCUUCACGUGUCUGCUGUGCAAUUAUUUACUUCUACAAGUGUUUGCUUUGCCUUUUUUUUUUUUUUUCCUCUUCAAAUUUGUCUUGUGACAGCCUUUUCCACAUGGGAUCCUUCAGCUUUGUAGAAACCCGGAAUAAGAAGGGUUCCUUUAGUGGCAAAGAGCCAUGUGACAUGGCACCCAGGCCACCUGGAUCCUGCGUGUCCUUCUGAGCAACAGGUUUUGGCUUCAGCGCUUGAAAGCAAACACUGCGUGUGGGAUUGACCAGCCAGGGCUGCUUUGGGGUGGCUGAUAAGGAGCAAGAGAGCGGGCUGCCCCCGGGGCAGUGACUUUGUGAGGAGAACCAACAGCAUGACCUCACAUUUCCAGCUAAAGCUGGCUCCUUUGUCCCCAGCCCUAUGGAAACCAAACAGCUCUCCAGCAGGGACACCCAGAGCAAGGUAAAUGUGGAUGGAUGGCAAACUCAACCCCAUAGGGACACAACUACACCAGCAGGGCCCAUUCCCAAGGCUCAGCAUCUCUCUGACAAGCAUGAGGGCAAUGGGCAUUGCAGGGCGGGCACUAUUUCCUGCCACAGGGACAAGUCUCCUCCAGCCCUGGGCACUGCUGAGAUCCUACUGCUCUUCUGAAGGUGACGUGGGACCACCAGGAGCAGCAGAAGCAGUGGGAGG